GAGAGUGUUGGGCUUGGCCUAUGGAAAGAUGUGGUGGCCCGUUUUCUCUGCUAUUCAGACGCUCUGUUUUUCCUCUUCUUCGUAGGCCAUCGUCAGCUUCCCCCAAGCGCAGGAACGAAUUUUCGCCGGAGAGUGUAGUGCCCACGCCAUCAAUCGUCAGCUUCCCCUCCCAUGAACUGCUGUCAAAGAUGCUUUACAGGUUGGUGCCUAAUUCCUGGGAUAGCAUCUAGGGUUGCCUGUCACCUUCUUCAUCAUCAUCUGCCUACCUCUCUUCUAGAACCUUCUCCCCGUAAUAGCUACAUCUGUUCCUACAAACCAAGCUUAGCCGUGCUCCAAAACCUUCUUCACCUGACACGCUAUAGUUUUCUCUGCAUUUUACUGAGAGCUGCGUACGGAACAAUCCAGAGGUACCUCCAAGCUACCAAAUCCAGCUGGCUGGCCUCCUUUACAGGUACCUACAAGCUCUCAAAACCAUAUUGUAAUUUUGCUUUACGGGUUGUGUGCCUACACCCUACCUCCAGCCUCAACCUUCUUUACAGCUUGGCUGAUUUGAUGCACGCCCAAGUUUUUGCUUAUAAAUUGAACCCUUUGAUGGAAGCGAAGAAGAAGUUGCAGACACAUAACAAUCUGGAAAUUGGCUAUUUUUUACUUCUGCUCAACGAAUAUGUCUUGUGUUAAUAAACAAAAAAAUUGAAUCUUCCAAUUUUUUGGGCAAUUGUGAGUCUGUGACAUAUGAUGAUUCAAAGAACUUGAGGAACAUUAUCUGGCUGGCUCCAUUCCCUGGUGAAUUUGCUAAAUCUCACAAUGUGUGGCUUUUGUAGGGUGAUCAAGUUCUUUUUCAUCCAGCAAAAGUAUUUCUUCCAACAAUCCACAAGAGAACAAGUCUUUGAUGAUUUGAAGUCUGGAUCUGAUUUUGAAAUUCCAGUUUCAAAGGAGAGUGGCUUGGCUGAAGUUUAGUUUCCUUUAUUCCUUCUUUUCCUUCAUCAUCGUAGGUUUGUUUCUCAACUAAUGUGGUGAUAAUUCAAUCAAGCAUUCAAUGGAAGGACAACCUCAUGAAUUUGUAAAUCUGACUUCAUCGCAUCCAUGAGCAUAACCAUCACCAUCACCAUCAUUGUUGCAUUUGAAGGCCAUUUAUGCCAGAGAUGUUGGUGUUAGUUUUGGUUAAUCUGAGCAUUUGUUGCACCUUACUCUAAGUAUUGAGGUUGAACCUCUUUUUGAGUGUACAUUUUUAUUUGGAAGGAGGAUACCUCUGAUUGUUCUUGAUUGUUCUCAUGGUGGCCCUGGUCUUUCCAUGACUAAGAGUGAUGUCACUACAGCAGAAAUUUCUAAAUGGGCUGAAAUGAUAACAAAACCAAAGGUUUUUCUCAUUUUAUGAAUGUCUAAAUAGAAAAAGUGAAUGCUUUAACUAUUAGGAGAUUAUGUGGUUCAGUUAUGUGGCCAUUUGACCUUGGUUUUAGUUGUACUUGUACUGAACUACACCCAUCACGAUUUGAUAGACUCUUUUAUUUUAAGAUUUUACUUCAUGUAAUUGAGAUGAGAUUUCAAUUGAUUUGAUCCUAAAAAAGCACGUUGUGUUGGGUUGUUGGUGCUCCGAUGGGGACCUCUAUUGGGAUGAUUUUAGUUGAUGAUUGUUUCCUCUCAUGGGUAAUAAUUAAGAACUAUCAUCUAUUUAGAUAAUUUUAGUUUAUGCUCAGGUUUUGUUUACACUUUGUAUUUGGUUGGUGUAGUUUAUAUAUGAGCUAAUAGGUAUUGCUUUUGUAGAGAUUGAGUUUUGUUAUCUUUUAGAACUAUAGAUGCACAUUUGGUUUGAUCUCUAACUGAGAUGCACAAAUAACAGAUAAAAAAGUUGUACAUGCCAUGUCAAAGACCGAUUAGAAGAACAAUUUCUACCCCAGUAACACAGGGUAGUUGCAGACUGAUAUGAAUUUGUCAAUAGAUGAUGUUUUUUUUGGAUUGGAUGUGUUUCUCUACAUAACUGGCAGACUGAUAUGAAUUU
Molecule: long non-coding RNA, 1996 nt
Organism: Lotus japonicus
Lineage: Eukaryota; Viridiplantae; Streptophyta; Magnoliopsida; Fabales; Fabaceae
Exons: 9
Source: RefSeq, a predicted model, not a curated record